RNAcentral lists this ribosomal RNA (255 nucleotides) under uncultured prokaryote. RNAcentral describes it as "partial 16S ribosomal RNA". It matches the Rfam family "Bacterial small subunit ribosomal RNA", at positions 524 to 776 of the family's 1533-position model. The record is from RNAcentral.
UACGUAGGACCCAAGCGUUAUCCGGAGUGACUGGGCGUAAAGAGUUGCGUAGGUGGUCAGUAAAGCGAAUAGUGAAAUCAGGUGGCUCAACCAUUCUGGCUAUUAUUCGAACUCACUGACUCGAGAACAGCAGAGGUAACUGGAAUUUCUGAAGUAGGGGUAAUAUCCGUAGAUAUCAGAAGGAACACCAAUGGCGUAGGCAGGUUACUGGGCUGUUUCUGACACUGAGGCACGAAAGCGUGGGGAGCGAACCGG